AGUGAACGCUGGCGGUAGGCCUAACACAUGCAAGUCGAACGGCAGCACAGUAAGAGCUUGCUCUUACGGGUGGCGAGUGGCGGACGGGUGAGGAAUACAUCGGAAUCUACUUUUUCGUGGGGGAUAACGUAGGGACACUUACGCUAAUACCGCAUACGACCUACGGGUGAAAGCAGGGGAUCUUCGGACCUUGCGCGAUUGAAUGAGCCGAUGUCGGAUUAGCUAGUUGGCGGGGUAAAGGCCCACCAAGGCGACGAUCCGUAGCUGGUCUGAGAGGGUGAUCAGCCACACUGGAACUGAGACACGGUCCAGACUCCUACGGGAGGCAGCAGUGGGGAAUAUUGGACAAUGGGCGCAAGCCUGAUCCAGCCAUACCGCGUGGGUGAAGAAGGCCUUCGGGUUGUAAAGCCCUUUUGUUGGGAAAGAAAAGCAGCAGGUUAAUACCCCGCUGUUCUGACGGUACCCAAAGAAUAAGCACCGGCUAACUUCGUG
RNAcentral lists this ribosomal RNA (492 nucleotides) under uncultured bacterium. RNAcentral describes it as "partial 16S ribosomal RNA". It matches the Rfam family "Bacterial small subunit ribosomal RNA", at positions 29 to 507 of the family's 1533-position model. The record is from RNAcentral.